GCAGAUGUAGUUCAAUGGUAGAACGAGACCUUGCCGAGGUUUAGACGCGAGUUCGAUUCUCGUCAUCUGCUCCA
Molecule: transfer RNA, 74 nt
Filed under: Mycoplasmoides gallisepticum
Lineage: Bacteria; Bacillati; Mycoplasmatota; Mycoplasmoidales; Mycoplasmoidaceae
Also listed under: 3 other names
Description: tRNA-Gly
Rfam family: tRNA
About the family: Transfer RNA (tRNA) molecules are approximately 80 nucleotides in length. Their secondary structure includes four short double-helical elements and three loops (D, anti-codon, and T loops).
Source: RNAcentral